RNAcentral lists this long non-coding RNA (348 nucleotides) under Malus domestica (apple). Its description in RNAcentral is "long non-coding RNA (MDOM_LNC015359)". Lineage: Eukaryota; Viridiplantae; Streptophyta; Magnoliopsida; Rosales; Rosaceae. The record is from RNAcentral.
GUAGGGUGUGUAGUCAGAAAAUGUGUGUGAAAAUAGAGAGUAUCUUGUAAGGAAUUGACCAAAUUCUCUAAGGCAUGUUACUACAUUCAAAACAUUGUUUUAAUUGGUUAAUUGUGAACUAGUAAGUGAUGACUGUAAUUAAGUAUGUGCUCAAGUGUAAGGAUGACCAAAAUCUGUGGGAAUGAUGAUUUUUAACACGUCAUGUUUCAUUAAAAAGCCUUAAGGCAAUUGUUGGAAGGUCUAGGUUGUGUUUUGUUUUGUUUUGUUUUGUUUGUUUUGUUUUGCUCGAGGACUAGCAAAAGCUAAGUGUGGGGAAAUUUGAUAGGAGCAUAUUUAUGCGACUUAGUU